UGAUGAAUAGUUUGAUUUUAAUAUAUUUAUGCGCGGGGAAAAUUGGGUGUUACAUAGUUGGUCACAGAGCAGGUCGGUCCAUUCGACCAGGUUUUGUAAUGUUGUUGAAUCCCUAGUAUGCGAAAGGUAUGUGUACAUUGUUUCUUCUAAUGUUUAUUUGAUGGUGUGCAGAAUGGUGAGAAUAAACGAUUGUGCCAUUGUUGAAGGUUUGGAAUCGCUAGCUCAGGCGAUGGCUCAGAAUGCACAGAACAACCAAAAUAAGGGAGCAUGAGGAGUUCCUGAUGAUUUUUGCACUUUGGGAAAAUUUUAGAGGAACAACC
Molecule: long non-coding RNA, 320 nt
Filed under: Lathyrus oleraceus (garden pea)
Lineage: Eukaryota; Viridiplantae; Streptophyta; Magnoliopsida; Fabales; Fabaceae
Description: Pisum sativum (pea) long non-coding RNA (PSAT_LNC021530)
Source: RNAcentral